This 427-nucleotide ribosomal RNA is filed under the name uncultured bacterium. RNAcentral describes it as "partial 16S ribosomal RNA". It matches the Rfam family "Bacterial small subunit ribosomal RNA", at positions 354 to 795 of the family's 1533-position model. The record is from RNAcentral.
GUCGAGAAUCUUCCGCAAUGCGCGAAAGCGUGACGGAGCGACACCGCGUGAUGGAUGAAGUCCUUCGGGGCGUAAACAUCUUUUAUAAAGGAGGAAAUUUUUGACGUUACUUUAUGAAUAAGGGGCUCCCAAUCUCGUGCCAGCAGGAGCGGUAAUACGAGAGCCUCAAGCGUUAUCCGGAAUCAUUGGGCGUAAAUGGUGCGUAGGUGGUUUGAUUAGUCUCCCGUUAAAACUUCGAGCUUAACUCGAAAAGAGCGGGGGAAACGGUCAAACUAGAGUAUGUGAGAGGUGUGUGGAACUCAUGGUGUAGGGGUGAAAUCCGUUGAUAUCAUGGGGAACACCAAAAGCGAAGGCAGCACACUGGCACAUCACUGACACUGAGGCACGAAACCUAAGGUAGCGAAUGGGAUUAGAUACCCCAGUAGCC